CAGAGAUAUCUGAUGCUGCAUCAUUGUUGUGGGAGAAGAGCACUACUUGCUUAGAAAGACAGGUACAGCAACCUCCACCGCUCCUUUGCUUCUGCAUUUCAGAGGUCCUCCAGCUAUUCCAAGAAUCCCACUGCAAGAUGCACAGAUGACCUGCAAGAAUGAGGAGGAUUUUCACCAAGAAUUCAAGCAUCUGGCUAUGGCAGGGUUUCCCAUGGCUGACCAGAAAUCUAAUUCAAAGUGACAAGAACAAGGGCUAUCCUCAUGACUGGAUGAAACCUUCUUUCCCACCCACACCUUCACAAGACUUUCCUCAUACUUCCCUUUCACUAGAAGCCAGGCAGUUUACCUAAACACAAGAUCUCCUCUGCAGUUGUCUUUGUUGUUGAAGGUACAACCCAAACCUCCACAACUGAGGGGGUCCACCAUAUCCUCUGGGCUACUGAAGAUAAUCCCAUGUGAGAGCCCAGAACUAGGAAGUGAAGAAAGUCUGUUAUGAUGCACAGCUGGUACCACACUGCAAUUUCACUGAAUUUCACUGUCAAAUAUUCACUUUUUUUUUUUUUUUUUUUUUUUUAAACAGGCAAAGGUCUUUGUUUUCCAAAGAAAAUGUCAAUUAUAACAAUGUAGAGAAGAAUCUCCACUUUCUGAUAAGCAUAAUGGUAAUUAGGACCACAUACCACAGAAGCCCUAAAGAAAGGACAAGAUGUCCCUCCUCACUUUUGAAGUAUUUUAGAUCCAUGACACAUUUCUACAAGUAGUAAUGGUGAAAUAUAAAUUACUUUGGUUGAAAAUAGGUCAAUAUGCCACUGAUGUUGCUAGUCUGUCUUUUGUUGGUGGUAAAGACAUUCUUGAUUUUCCUUAAUGUUACUUUAUGAGAGAUAAUAUACAGAAAUCAGAAGUACUGCUGUAAUUGCUGGUUACCAUACCACCAGCAAGGUACCUCUGAAGAGAUAUAUUAAACAACCUCUUUUUAACAACCUCUUUUUUUUUUUUUUUUUUUCUUCCCAAGGGUAAUGUAGUUGAAAACAACUUUCUAUAUAUCAGAUGUUGACUCUUGUGGGAUUAUGGCUAGCAGUGAUAGAUUUUAACAUUCAGUGGGCCAAGCUGAGAAUUUAUGCUGGUGAAUUUAUACUGUGAAGAUUCAAAGAAGUGAGACAUUACUCACUCUUAGUUUGGCCCCAUAAUAUUAGACUAUUAUUCAAAAAAGGCAAAAAUAUAUGUCUAGGUUGGGGUAUCAUAACAAAUUAGAAGGCAGGGAUUGCCUUUGGGAGUGCUUAUUAUUUUUCCUUUUAGCCAGUUCCAAAGUCUUUGUAAUUUAUUCUAGGAAUCACAACCAAACUUUAUUCCUCUCAAUUCUUUCACAAAUGAUUCUUCACUGCAGAAAUACGAGAUACAUUUUUCAGUUUUGUUUUAGGCUGACAAGUUCUUUUUGCUCUUGACAACUGAUGACAUAUAUAAUAACAACAACAAAUCUCUAAGACAAUUCUCCCAUACUCCCUGUUUUGUUGACCAGCCCUUGAGGAAUACAGGAGAAGAGUUAAGAAUAUAAAGUGGUUUGACCACAUAGCAGCAACCCUGGAUCCAUUUGCUUCUGAGCCUGUUUUUCAAUGUGCCUCUCUUGGGGCCCUGCAAGCAGGUCCUACAAUACCAAGAAAGACUCCAAACCUAAUAUUUAAUUUACACAGUGUGUCCAGUCCACACGGGCCUUUGAAAAGAGAGAUAUCACAGACAGGCUGACUAUAAUGACAGUGUCUCUUUGGGGUAAAAAAAGAAACAUGAGGACUUCCACUUAUGUUCUGGAGAAUCCUACCAAGAAGAAGUAGUGAAAAAUAAUUAGUAAGUCCUUUUGUGCCCAGAGAUACUUUUUAUAAUUUUUGAAGUGUUAUUUAUGAAUCCCUCCUCUCUGAAUGCUUUAUUUAUUCGCACUGGGUCUUUCAGCUAGCACUGUUUGCUAUUUUGCUUGAGGUUAUAUCAACAGUCUGAUAGAGAAAUGCAUGCCAGUAAGUGUCAAUGCCCUUCUUGGCAACAUAUUUAGGUUUCCUUAGGAUCAAGUCAUCCCACAAACUUUAGUUGCUAUUACUUCGGGCAAAGUUUAAAGAGAUCUGCCAUUGCACUAAAAAAGGCUCUAACACAGAACUAAAUGACGCCCCCAGAAAUGUUGCUAAAAGCAUAAAUUGAAAGAAUAUACUCUAUGGUAUAUCUUCCUUGUUAAAGAUGGAGAACAUCUGAAGUGAGGAUUUUUAUUUUUGGCAAAAAAGGACCAUAGACUAACCUGUUGAAAAGUCAGCACAUCUUAGCUUCUCAGUCUGCAGCCUGUUAAGAGUUCUGGGUAGUGUAGUCUAAAAUGUAAAGGCUUCAACUAACUUUAAAACUCCUCACAGAAACCAUUGAAAACAUUACUUACUAAAAAAAUACCAUAUGAAGAGGGUAAAAGAGAAGGUGCAUCCUGUGAAGCAGCUGUUGGGUAUCACAGAAAACUCAUCUGGUUUAUACUGACAAAGGUAGUACAAGAUGUCAUAUAGAAUAUAACAAAUAUAAAAACCUAUUCAGGUUCCUUUUUGUUGGGUUCCUCAGGAUACAAGCAGAUACUCACAUUCGCAAUCACUUUAAAAAUUAUGGAUGUAGAUAAAUUAUAGUAAAUGAAAUCUUAAAGAAAAGUUGAAAAAAGAAAACUAUUUUCCAGACUUUUUUUUGCUUCCCACAUUAAAGAUGUUUUUUAAAGAUUUGUAUGGUUUUCAUGAUGUGUUUUACAUAAGCCAAGACAAACUUUGUUAUAUAACCUAAACUAAAAUCAUUUGCUUUCCAGGUAACUGCAGAUUGCUUGUGAAUGUAAAUUGCAAAGGUUUGCUACAGAGAUGACAUUAACUGUUACUGUAAGUUUUGUUUCAGGAUGGGCCAAUACACAAUACCUUCAGAAUUUAAAAAAAAAAAGAAAAAAAAGAAAAAAGUUUAAAGAACAGUGGUUCUGUCAUUUUAUAUUAAGUAUGUGCAACAGGUUCAACAGCUGAAACUCAUGGGAUUAUCCAGCUUUACAGUCCCUGCUGAGUAAGCUGAGCUAGGAGAAAGCUUUGUUUCUGACGGAAAAGGUGCCACCAUAGCCCCACAAAUCAAACACAUUAGGAUUUACGUUCUUUCCUCUAAGCUAAAUGGUCACUUGCUGCACUACAUAAACAGCAAGGAAAAUACUCUUUUGGCAGAUGCCUUGACCUGCAUGAGUGGAAAGCUACAUAAAAGCUUCUGAGAAAGGCCUGAUUAAAGCUGAACACAGAAAUUUUCCCUUGGAGGUUGGUGGUGUCAGCAGUUUUGGAUAAUCUUUGUCAUAUUAGUGGCAUUUGUAUUGUAUUAGUGAGUUCUAUAGCUUAAUUCAACAUUAAAAAUACUAGCACAAUGUGAGUGGUUAUCAUUCUCCAUCUGACA
Long non-coding RNA from Anas platyrhynchos (mallard), 3417 nucleotides. RefSeq lists it as uncharacterized. NCBI's taxonomy places the organism in Eukaryota, Metazoa, Chordata, Aves, Anseriformes, Anatidae. The record is from RefSeq and is a predicted model, not a curated record.